UCCUCCAGAGAAGAACAAGAAGAAUUUGAGGAGGAAGAAGAGAUGGAGGAAGAAGAUGAAGAUGAGAAACACUUUUCUUCCUUUUUAUUUCUUCUCAACCCAAUGCCUAGAUCUAGAAAAGAAACCCUAGACCCUUCUGAUGCCAAGAUGGAUGUCGCCCACCCCUAUAACCCAUGCUCUAAGUAAUCUCAUGCUAAGAAAAAAUUUCCAUGAUGAUUUUAGAUAUUUUUCAUGCCAAAAGGAGGGUCCUUUUAUGGUAGGCAUCCAAUAGAGUUUGGAUG
Molecule: long non-coding RNA, 281 nt
Filed under: Elaeis guineensis (African oil palm)
Lineage: Eukaryota; Viridiplantae; Streptophyta; Magnoliopsida; Arecales; Arecaceae
Description: long non-coding RNA (EGUI_LNC020366)
Source: RNAcentral